CUCAACCGUAAGGAGGGGGAUGCCUAAGGCAGGGCUAGUGACUGGGGUGAAGUCGUAACAAGGUAGCCGUACCGGAAGGUGUGGCUGGAUCACCUCCUUAAAGGGAGACCUAAUUCGGGUAUAAGACGAAAAAAUAGUAGUCGAAACCAAGAAUCAAUCCCAAAAGGUCGGAACGAGGUAUGUGGCUUUCAAACUAGGUUCUGGGUUCACACAAGACCUGAAUCAGGAACAAGGGCUAUUAGCUCAGGUGGUUAGAGCGCACCCCUGAUAAGGGUGAGGUCCCUGGUUCGAGUCCAGGAUGGCCCACCUGCCCAGGUGGCAAAAACAAAGAAGAGAGGCUCCGAAUCAGCACCUUAUCUUAUCUAUAGAUAAGAGAGAAUGCUGGCUCUGAGUUCAGAGUCCAGAGGAACCUUGAAAACUGCAUAGAGCUAGGUGAAAAAGCCAAAAAAGAAGACCGCAAGGUCAAGCUAAUAAGGGCUAACGGUG
This 486-nucleotide small RNA is filed under the name uncultured Microcystis sp. RNAcentral's name for it is "bacterial LSU rRNA". The stretch from base 1 to 100 matches the Rfam family "Bacterial small subunit ribosomal RNA", at positions 1434 to 1533 of the family's 1533-position model. Lineage: Bacteria; Bacillati; Cyanobacteriota; Cyanophyceae; Chroococcales; Microcystaceae. The record is from RNAcentral.